Molecule: ribosomal RNA, 469 nt
Filed under: uncultured bacterium
Lineage: Bacteria
Description: bacterial SSU rRNA
Rfam family: Bacterial small subunit ribosomal RNA
Source: RNAcentral
ACUCCUACGGGAGGCAGCAGUGGGGAAUAUUGCACAAUGGGCGCAAGCCUGAUGCAGCCAUGCCGCGUGUAUGAAGAAGGCCUUCGGGUUGUAAAGUACUUUCAGCAGUGAGGAAGGUGGAUAUGUUAAUAGCAUAUUCAUUUGACGUUAGCUGCAGAAGAAGCACCGGCUAACUCCGUGCCAGCAGCCGCGGUAAUACGGAGGGUGCGAGCGUUAAUCGGAAUUACUGGGCGUAAAGCGCAUGCAGGUGGUUGUUAAGUCAGAUGUGAAAGCCCGGGGCUCAACCUCGGAAUUGCAUUUGAAACUGGCAAACUAGAGUACUGUANAGGGGGGUAGAAUUUCAGGUGUAGCGGUGAAAUGCGUAGAGAUCUGAAGGAAUACCGGUGGCGAAGGCGGCCCCCUGGACAGAUACUGACACUCAGAUGCGAAAGCUGGGGAGCAAACAGGAUUAGAUACCCUGAUAGGCUCU